GGUAACAAAUGGGGAGAAGCCACAGUAAUUGGAUUUGCUAUUAAGUGGGUGUAUUGCUACCAAAUUGAACAGAAAAUUACUGGGAACAUUUGGAGUGAGAAUGAAAGUGUCUCAGAUGUGGUGACGGGGACCAGCCAGCCCUCCUGCUCCCGCUCCCUGGGCGGCUGCAGCGCUGAUGCUUCCCUGAGCUUCUUGGUCCUGCGGCCUGUCUGGCCCCCAGGGGCACCCGGACCUCCCACUGGCUGCGGGCUGACCCCUUUUUUCUACUCUCUUCCAGGCUUCGUGGGAUCCGGCCUGCUGUCCUUUCCCUUCCUAGCUGCCAGCAAGGACUCUGGUUUCUUACAAUUCCCUGUCUUCAGAUCAGGCCCCGUCUCCCACUUCCUGGUCAUCCCCCCAAACACAAGAGCUGAUCGGCUUAAAGACUUCAGUGCAGUUACCCUAAGGAAAGAAGAACGCACCUCUGAUUCUGGUGUGAAUUAAGCAGCAGGAAAAAACAGCUCUGGGUGUCAAGGUACCACCAGCCCUGGGAUCUGUGCUUUGGGAGCUUUCCUUUGUAGCGUGGUGGAUAUUGAUCCGAUGUUUUGCAGAAAAGCUCCUUCCGUCCUUCUGAUUUAGAUUAAAAGGCAUCGUCCCAGCAGUGCCUCCCAGGCCCCAUGUCACCUAGUCGGAUUCAUUUCCGCUGCGCCAGGAUGGGAACUCCCCCGUUUACAUUUAGUGCCAACAGAAAGAUUUGGGAAAAUGUUUCAGCGGCGUCAGGCAUGGUUCCCGAAUACCCAGAGUCCUCACCUUCCUUUAUUCUGGAUCGCGGCAGAUUAUAAAUUAAGCGAUCUUUGCGCACACGUUCUCCCCUCAAGGGUUUGUAACAUCCUCCUGUCUCUCAAGACCAGCUACAAGUCCUCUUCUCCGCUGAGUAAGAACAGAACCUGCCUGCCCUCGUUAAAAGGGUAAUCUCAUUCGCAACUUUGCUUUCUCUACAGCUCUUCUUAUAAUCAUAAUGUUUUCACUUGUGGUCAAGUACACCUAAUGUAAAAUCGACCACUGAAACCAGUUUUUUUUUUUUUUUUUUUUUU
RNAcentral lists this long non-coding RNA (1070 nucleotides) under Sus scrofa (pig). RNAcentral describes it as "lncRNA (ENSSSCG00025029200.1)". Lineage: Eukaryota; Metazoa; Chordata; Mammalia; Artiodactyla; Suidae. The record is from RNAcentral.